CCUGCUUCCAAUCUUUUUAAUCUCUUAAGAAAGAUAUCAUGUUUCUUCAACAUUGGUCUAGUUUUUUUUAAAAAAAAAUCACAUCUAUUAAAAAAAAUGUCUCUAACACGAAGAAAAUACAUUUUUCACAUUUAGUGUGCAGCAGAGAUGAAAUGCAGAGAUGAAAUGAGAACAGUCAUGUGAUGCACUUCUUGCUCAGACGGUACCAUUUUGGAUGGGAGGAUUGAAACCAGCGACAAUUCAAUAGCCAACUUGUCAUGAUGCAUGCUGAAGCCAAGAAUGCUAUCAUGGGCUACACUACAUGGAAGAAAGAUGAUCCACCUUGAGACGGCAGUCAUCGCCCCCACUACAAUCUGUGCAUGGGGAAGCCUACAUUCUGCAUCUUUGUACGGCAAUGCAUCUGCUCAGCUAGGGAUUCCUUCGCACUGCUUCAGAGUGGGUGCAAGCUUUUUGCCUGUUUUGCCAAAGCUAUUCUCAGAAAGCAAAACAUCUGUUUUAUUUUCUGCUACUGUACCCUAAACAAACAACCCUUACAGUUAAGAUAUAGUCUCGUGUGUUUCCAACAGCUUGAUUGCCCGAUGUGCUGUAAUUGCCCAGGUCAUGCUAUCUAGUUUAAAGUUAGAUGUGAUUAGAAGCUUGUGGGAGGUUCGAGUUUAUCCAUAGUAAUUAACACUGAUGCGAUUCUCUCCUUCCUCACCAACUGAGUGAAUCAAAUUGGUAGAGCCGGAUUAUUUCUGGUGGGGCAAAAGGACUUGUUAAUUAGGCCUUCCUCGACCUCCCUUUCAUUUCUUUCACAAGUUCUGUCCUUGAUUUUCCCUUCUAAUGGGCAUGGUGGAAUAGAAUAACUCAAGCCAAUCUAGAAAAAUAACCUCCUCCUCUUCUUCCUGAACCUCAGAAUCUCAAAACUGUCUGAGUCAGAUUGCAGCAUCUCCUUAACCUCUCUACCUCUUCCUUGACCCAACUACUUACUGGUUGUGUUUUGUUCUUUUUUAAAAAACUUUUUCUGGGGGGGUUUGCCCACUGGCUCCGCCCACCUCCUCCUAUAUGUAAGCCUCUUGAAAUAUACUUGGAGUCGAGAGUGGAUUUCAUGCUCUUUAUUCAGCUCAUAGUGGUGAGGAGGAAUGGGAGUUCCCCCAGAAUGUCUGCUUUAUAUACAUUAUUUACACAAUGGACCCUACGUGAUUGGCUAAUUCCAGAUUAUCCUGUAGGCCAAUCAGGUUGUGGAUUCACUUCCACCUGGAGCUGGAUUGGGUGGCUCCUGUGGACCAAUCAGACUGCUGCAGUCUGGGUCCUAUUGUUCUAGGACCAAUCAGACUGCUGCAUUUUGGAUCCUAUUCAACUCAGUACAUAACACCUCUCUAGCACUCUUUUUGAACCUAGGAUAGCUCAGUCGGUAGAGAAUACUCUUAAUGAAGACUCUUAA
RNAcentral lists this long non-coding RNA (1423 nucleotides) under Podarcis muralis (Common wall lizard). RNAcentral's name for it is "lncRNA (ENSPMRG00000013997.1)". Lineage: Eukaryota; Metazoa; Chordata; Lepidosauria; Squamata; Lacertidae. The record is from RNAcentral.